AUGGGCAAGCACUGUAAGCUGUCACCUGCCCACAGCAUGCUAAGAAUGGACCUUUCAGAUUGUGCUGAUAUUUCCUUAUUUUCUGCCUUGACUGUUUGCUGCUGCUGCGUCGCUUCAGUCGUGUCCGACUCUGUGCAACCCCAUAGAUGGCAAAUUGUAGCAUUAGACAUAAAUUCAGAAUCCUGCACCAGGGUUGGGAUUGAGUUGAGCAGUAAUUGAGUCCUGAAAUCACAGAGACCUCAUGGUAAAGAAUGCAGGCUUAGCACCCAUGACACUUGGAGCCAGAUCCUGGUAUGACCUUGACAGGGGACCUCCUCUGUCUGAGUCUCUAUUUCUUUACCUGNNNNNNNNNNNNNNNNNNNNNNNNNAUUUUGAUGACAUAAUUUGUAUCUGCCUGUUACCGUUUUAAGGACAACAUUUAUAGUCCUUGUUAAGGUCUGCAUUGUUACCAUAUAAUAAAGCAAUUGACCCAGAACAGAGCUCUCUUUCCCUAUAUUUAAAAAUAUAACCUUGAAUUGUUCAUGGGUCACACCUCUUUACCUGUACCUUCCCACCCACAGGCAGGAAGAAAAGUGAUAUGGCAGCUGAUACUAACAUAAAUCUAAAAGAAAGGUACAUUUUUAAUUACAGCUGUAGCUAUAAAGAUAUGCAUAUAAAUAUAUAUGCAUACAUAUAAAGAUAUAUGUGUGUAUGUGUGUGUAUACUUAUGUGCAAACAAUCAAAUCCUAAAGCUAUAUUUUAAUGAACUUCUAAAAUUGAAGUAUUUUUGCCUUGGAAAUUCUAUGGGGUCACAAGGAGUUGGGCAUGACUUAGCAAUUAAACCACCACCAAACUUGAAGUAGAACAAAUAGAGAAGUCCCUGUAUCAUAACAAUGCAGCUGAAUGAAUUAUUACAAAAUCUAUAUAACCCUAGAUCAGGAAAUAGAAUGGAUUAUUAGAAGAAUCUCCAAAGCCCCUCCCAUGCCCUGCCCCUCUCCUUCCCCCUUCCCCCAAGGAGCACUCUGACUGGCUUUGUAACCCUGUGGCUACCUUUCGCUUGUUUUUGAACUAGAUGGAA
Molecule: long non-coding RNA, 1057 nt
Filed under: Capra hircus (goat)
Lineage: Eukaryota; Metazoa; Chordata; Mammalia; Artiodactyla; Bovidae
Description: lncRNA (ENSCHIG00010007641.1)
Source: RNAcentral